This 257-nucleotide ribosomal RNA is filed under the name uncultured bacterium. RNAcentral describes it as "partial 16S ribosomal RNA". It matches the Rfam family "Bacterial small subunit ribosomal RNA", at positions 524 to 776 of the family's 1533-position model. The record is from RNAcentral.
UACGUAGGGAGCGAGCGUUGUCCGGAUUCAUUGGGCGUAAAGAGCUCGUAGGCGGCUUGAUAAGUCGGAUGUGAAACCUCCAGGCUCAACCUGGAGUCGCCAUCCGAUACUGUCAUGGCUAGAGUCCGGUAGGGGCCCACGGAAUUCCUGGUGUAGCGGUGAAAUGCGCAGAUAUCAGGAGGAACGACCGGUGGCGAAGGCGGGUGGGCUGGGCCGGCACUGACGCUGGAGGAGCGAAAGCGUGGGGAGCGAACAGG